UGCUGGCGACCGGCGCACGGGUGAGUAACACGUAUCCAACCUGCCCUUUACUCGGGGAUAGCCUUUCGAAAGAAAGAUUAAUACAAGAUGGCAUCAUGAGUCCGCAUGUUCACAUGAUUAAAGGUAUUCCGGUAGACGAUGGGGAUGCGUUCCAUUAGAUAGUAGGCGGGGUAACGGCCCACCUAGUCUUCGAUGGAUAGGGGUUCUGAGAGGAAGGUCCCCCACAUUGGAACUGAGACACGGUCCAAACUCCUACGGGAGGCAGCAGUGAGGAAUAUUGGUCAAUGGGCGAGAGCCUGAACCAGCCAAGUAGCGUGAAGGAUGACUGCCCUAUGGGUUGUAAACUUCUUUUAUAAAGGAAUAAAGUCGGGUAUGGAUACCCGUUUGCAUGUACUUUAUGAAUAAGGAUCGGCUAACUCCGUGCCAGCAGCCGCGGUAAUACGGAGGAUCCGAGCGUUAUCCGGAUUUAUUGGGUUUAAAGGGAGCGUAGAUGGAUGUUUAAGUCAGUUGUGAAAGUUUGCGGCUCAACCGUAAAAUUGCAGUUGAUACUGGAUAUCUUGAGUGCAGUUGAGGCAGGCGGAAUUCGUGGUGUAGCGGUGAAAUGCUUAGAUAUCACGAAGAACUCCGAUUGCGAAGGC
This 638-nucleotide ribosomal RNA is filed under the name uncultured bacterium. Its description in RNAcentral is "bacterial SSU rRNA". It matches the Rfam family "Bacterial small subunit ribosomal RNA", at positions 86 to 722 of the family's 1533-position model. The record is from RNAcentral.